Salarias fasciatus (jewelled blenny) is the source of this 1910-nucleotide RNA transcript. RefSeq lists it as uncharacterized. The transcript is spliced from 7 exons. Lineage: Eukaryota; Metazoa; Chordata; Actinopteri; Blenniiformes; Blenniidae. The record is from RefSeq and is a predicted model, not a curated record.
CUAAAGCAGGCGUUGCAUCUUUUCAGGAAGCUCAGUCCUACUGUGAAAAGCAUUCUGUAUGUUCACUUCCAUUCUCAUAGCUUUUCUAACACCUUACACACUUUGCAGACCCUCCAUAGUACGGUGGGAUUACUGAAUGUCAGAGCAUCUGAACCACCUUGAAACUUUUGCUCAGCACUAUAAGCACAAGUGGACUAAAAGACAGGCUCUGGUGAACAUCUGCAUUUCUGUGAAGGUUUGACUCAUGUCUCAUUCAUACUGCGAAGGACAAGUCAGCUUUUCCAUUACUGCACUUUCCAAAGAUUGUGUUUGUUACACGGAUCUGCUUCGUCUUAAACUUUAAUUCAUCAGCCUGCAUCUGAUGAACUCAAGUUGAGCUUUCAACCGUCAAAUGAUUAUACGGGUAAUUUAUAGUUUGCUCAAAUAUUUGAAUAAUAAUCUUGUAAUAUCUGCAUAAAUUAUAGUUCAUUUGUACAUUUUUUUCAGGAAAUGAAGUUGCUGACGUAGCAUUUUCCAUAAAUCAGUACCAGUCCUAAAGUAAAAAGCAAAAUGAAGGUCAAUCAAUUAAAAAAAAAAAAAAAAAACUGUGUGGGUGGGAGACCUGCUUGAAUUUCCUCUGCAUGGGCUGUUGAACCACUUCCUAUUUGCUGCUUGCUCGAUGUAUACUGUUUGUGUCUCUCAGUGUCUGUGGUUUCAUUUCGAUGAGUACUAACUCUACAGAUCUCAGUAUUUGGUUUUGUCCUCGUUUCUAGAGAUGCGAGCUGCGAGAAUGUUCAUGCAUAACGGUUUUAUUUCUAUUUACCUUCUGAUUCUUUGGAAUUCCUCCACCUUCUCAGGAAACUGUAACACCUGCAGUUCCUCUUCGUUUCUUACUGGGAUGUGAGGCGGUGAUUCCAUGUCGACCUGUGAAGAGCCGCUCAGACUCUUUCAAAUGGUUUUUCAAGAAGAGCGACCAAAACGACCAAAUAGAAAUAUAUUCUGAGGAUAAGCAUGGAAAACAGCUUCACUCUGUCAGCCAUAAAAGAGGACAAGUUAAGGGUGAUCGCUCCCUGGUCAUUGAUAAUUUCACUGAGCUCGAUCAAGGAUCAUACUGGUGUGAAAGCUGUGACCGAACCGAAUGCAAAAAAUCCACAGUUUUCAGAGUGACGGAAGACAUUUGGAAGGAAACUAACACAACAGUUCAUGUUGUAGAAGGCAGGACUUUUGAGCAAGUAUGUCCGGGUGGAAUAAUCCCCUCACAAUGGACUUUUGAAGGACAAAAUCUUCAUGAAAAAUCCUCACUUGGACCAGAAUCAAAAAUUUUGACGAAGAACAAGCACAUACGUAUCAGAGAUGUGAAAACAGCCCAUGCUGGUCGAUAUACCUGCUGGACGAGAGGCUGCCGCAGAGCCCAGAAGCUUCUCACCGUUUGCUUGUGUGUAUUGAGAGCUCACCAGAGAAAGGAUUCAUCCUCUUGUGCCUUGACAUGUGAUGUGGAAUCCUGGAAAAUCACUUCAGACACAGUGAUCAAUACUUCUAUAUCAAUGCAUGUAGAGCCAGAUGGGCCUUUACUUUGCAGUUCGACACAGACGUUUGAUGAGAACGCAACAGUAACCAGCAGUUAUGUUGCAGUAAAUGCAUAUAACACAACAGGUAGAGAAGAGCCAAAACAUCAGACUCCAGUCAGAUACAUAGUGCCUCUCAUCGUUUCAUGGCUCAUGAUCAUCACACUUUCCUUCUUGUUCUUCAGAUCAAGACUGUGGGCGGCAUAUUCAAAUCGCUGUCGCUGUGGAGGGAAUGACAACGCGGAAGAAGAGACUUCGGUGGUCUACUCGACGAUUCUCAUCAGGACACAGAACAAAGCAAUUCAUCAUAAUAUCUCUGAAUAUGAUUGUAUUUAUAGUGAAAUAAAUGUCUGAGGACAAAAACUC